AGAGUUUGAUCCUGGCUCAGGAUUAACGCUGGCGGCGUGCCUUAUCAAUGCGAGUCGAACGGUACGGACACUUCGGUGUCACGACCGUGGCGUCCGGGUGAGUAACACGUGGGUGAUCUGCCUCUUUGUGGGGGAUAACCCCGGGAAACCGGGGACAAUACCGCAUACGAUCACCGGAAUGCGUUCCGGUGAUGAAAGAUUUAUCGCAGAGAGAGGAGCCCGCGGUCGAUUAGCUUGUUGGCGGGGUAAAAGCCCACCAAGGCUGAGAUCGAUAGCUGGUCUGAGAGGAUGAGCAGCCACACUGGGACUGAAACAUGGUCCUGAGCCCUACGGGGUUUAGCAUGAAGGAAUCUUGCGCAAUGGGGGAAACCCUGACGCAGCNACGCCGCGUGGACGAUGAAGGCUCUUGGGUCGUAAAGUCCUUUUCCGAGUGAUGAUGAUGACA
RNAcentral lists this ribosomal RNA (445 nucleotides) under uncultured bacterium. Its description in RNAcentral is "bacterial SSU rRNA". It matches the Rfam family "Bacterial small subunit ribosomal RNA", at positions 8 to 456 of the family's 1533-position model. The record is from RNAcentral.